UCUCAGUUUGUAGCAAGACAGGCUGGGACCUGGGCCCUCGGACCCUUUGCUGCAGUAAGGGCACCUGGACAAACCUCUCCUCGAGCAACAGAAUACAAGGAAACUAUAAGGGACUAAAAAUAACUGUGCAUGGGCAGUUAGGGCAAAGUCUGGACAAGAAGAUA
Aethalodelphis obliquidens (Pacific white-sided dolphin) is the source of this 164-nucleotide long non-coding RNA. RefSeq lists it as uncharacterized. NCBI's taxonomy places the organism in Eukaryota, Metazoa, Chordata, Mammalia, Artiodactyla, Delphinidae. The transcript has 3 exons. The record is from RefSeq and is a predicted model, not a curated record.